Molecule: long non-coding RNA, 4281 nt
Organism: Numida meleagris (helmeted guineafowl)
Lineage: Eukaryota; Metazoa; Chordata; Aves; Galliformes; Numididae
Exons: 2
Source: RefSeq, a predicted model, not a curated record
ACAAAACAGUUGAUUUCAGAUCCCUGAGGGUAGUAUCAGCCACUUCUCACUUCUGCUGUAUGGCGUGUUUUGAGACUGCUCUGCUAGCUAUGACUGUGGGUAAGCUGCCUCUUGUGAAAGGCAGCACUGGGCUGGAUGAAGUGCCAACUCUCCACUUCUGGAAGCUGGCGUUGAGGCUGUCAUCCGACUUCUACAGCAAGAAAUCCAAACUACAGAAGUACUGCUGAGAAGGCAAAAAUCACCAGCUGUGAGAAUGCUGACUUCCAGGGAUCCUCCAAAGAAUUCAUCAGUGACACUGCCAAUCGGAAAGAUGUGCAUUGGAAUGGCUGUCUCCUCAGUAAAAAAGGACAGCUCUGGGUGGCUUAUGAACACCUCAGCUAUGCAGGCCAGGAACUGUUCUUUGAGGAUGAGCAACAUAGAUUUGCUGGUGAACAGUUGAAUGACGAGAUCACUUUUCUGCAGGUGAUUGCUUGAAAACCUGCACGAUCUGCAGAUCACUCUAUGAACUAUGAACGAGGGAAGAGGAGUGUGAUAACAGAAACAACCAGUCUGGGUUGGGGACAUGCCACUGACAUUGUCACAAAGUCCAGAGAGAUAGAAGUGAUUUUUGCUCGAUUGCAUGAGGAUGUGAACACCUUCCAAAUUACAACGCAAUCAAUUUCAAUGACAAGCUUCCAUUUAUACAUCUGCUUCUGCCACAGGCAUAUCAAAUAGCUGGUGUGCCAAGCGGUGACGGAGGCUAUGACUGCCAAAAGCACGCAAAGAAUCCUAGCAAGCCUAUCUUAGCUCUUCACCAGUUCCAUGGACAUCACUGGGUACAAAGGACAUCUUUCAUGGGUCAAAGACGCAAAUGGGAUGAGGUUGCAAGCUGCAAGAAGCAGCAUGCUACAAGAACAAGGACGCUGAAGAAUCUUUGUGUUUUGCAAGCUGCAGAUCUGCUUUGAGGACAACCUACUCCUCAGAGUUCCUUCAGGACUGUGACUGUGUUUUUAUACUUUAACUCCAAAGCAGCACACUAAAAACUACAUGGCAAAGUUUCAGUAUAAUUUGAAUUAUUAAUUGCAUUCGCAUAUGAAAUAUGCAAGGCCUUAUUACAGACGUAGGCUCACUGACUGUUUCAGGGACUGCUUUGACAUGUACAGGCUUAUCUGGAGAAUUUGGAGUUGCAGUUCCAAAUGACACUGCUAAAUGGCACCUACACUCUGAGCCAUAUUGUGGCAGCUGUUGUGUGGCUCUGCAUUGUAAAUCUCAUCUGUCCUGGUGCUGAGCUCCUGCUCUUGUGUUCAUAGCUGGAAAUAGCCUAUAAACAUGCAGAGUGAUCAGCUGCUGGGCUUUAACCUGUUUUAAAACAAACACAGCAGGAUCUUUUGACGUGUGUCAGAACUCUCUGGUCCUCUCCAAGGCUCAUGUGGGCAGAUGCAAAGAUGACAACUCAGGCUUCAUGUGUUAUGGGACACUUCUUACUAAUUUGGACUCAAUUUCUGGUUUUCUUGCUUUAUUCAUUGCAGAUCUUUUAAAUGGAUUUCAAAACUCAAUUCCGAGAACUCUGAGUAUCGUCCCUACCAUAGGCCAAAAUAAUUAGGACACACUGAAUGGUUUCCUGAGGAAGCCAGCUGUGCCAAAAGGAAGAAAUGGUACCAUGAGGCAGAGGGGAAGAAUCUGACACUGAUGUGUUCAAAUGUGGACCGUGGCAGUGGUGCCGGUGAGUGUGCUGUGUGCGGUGCUCUCAGCCUGCUCAGUAAGGCAAAUCAGACUGUGCAGGUGGCUGUAUCAUCACCGUUAUGUUUCUUCCAGAAGGCCUAAGCACAGUGCUCUGUGCAAUAUAUAAGAAAGCUGAAAAACAUCAAUACAUGUUAUGUUUUUAAUCCCAUUAUUAAGGUAACUUCUCAAUAUUAAUACCUUUUGGAGUAACAAAUCUAGGUGGACAAGAUCAUCAUCUUCUGACCAAACCAAUAUGCAAAAUAAAUGAUUUUAGAAGACUUACGGAAUUGCCAUGACGACGUCUUAGGGUUCCCUUUCAGCACCUUGGCAUGAUAUAGACAACAUGUGAGCAUGGUUGAUAGGCAUGGAAUUAUUUAGGGUGUGUCUAAUUUAAUUUCUAGGAAAUACACAUAACAAUAUUUACUUUGUGUAAAGUGUCAUUUCUUAGGAAAGUAUGUAUUCUCUUAUUUUCUUAUGUAUAUAUAUAGCAUGUAUUACUGAAAUUUUAUUUGUAGUUGAAACAUUUCUAAAUCUGAUAAGCAUAAUCUUUGCAUUUAAAUGUUCCCUGUAUUUUUGAUUAUGUUACCUUUUCAAAUUUAUUUUACUUUGUGAUUUAAGCACAUUAUAUUCCUGUCAGCCUAUGUCUAGUUCUUCUGGUCACCAGAGAGGGGCCUUUCUUUUUGUGGAGGUUAAGGAAAAGGUGUCUAGAUGCUCCCCAGUUACAGUGCAGCAAGCAGCUUCUCUGCUGCUCAUCCACUAGUGCCUUUGAAAUCACAUUCUCUGGUCACUCAUGCUCUUCUUACUUUGGCAGGAGGCAAAGAGGCAUCUCAGAAAGACAGAAUCCCUCCCUGGCAUCUCCUGCUGUAAUCAUUGUGUAUCUUCAUAAAAAGGUACUGAAUGGCACUCUUGUUAGGGAAGGAGCAUCAAUAUCUCAGCGUCCCUGUCGACAUGGGGAGAGCAACAGUACCUGGAGGUCUUAGUGCCUAUUAAACUUGGUGUAGUACACAUGCAGAGUAAAAAGACUGCUUCCAAAAUAAGCAACCAGUUAAAAAAUGUUUGCAGAGGGGUUUAUUACUAAUUCAUAGUAGAGUACAAAUAAUUCUGAAUAAGGAAAUCAUGUAAUGCGUUAUGCCAGAAAGAAAUGAGACGGGUAAAACGUGAUGCAGGUAACUCUAAGGUGCACGUAACCAAGGGGUGAUACAUAAACAGGCUGAACUUUUUUCUGCAUAGUUAGAAAUGACUGCAGAACAAGUUGAGGCAUGUUGGAGUAAUGACAAAAUAUAAAACUGGGCUCAAGGUUCAGAUCCUGUCUGCACAGAAACAGCUUGAGGGUUAAGAAUAGCCACUGAGCUUAUUUUGUAACAAGGCAGCAUUCCCUUGCUGGUCAAACAAAAGUUUCUGUGGAGAACAGCUCUUGAGCAUCUAACACUUUAUGGAGUAGGUGGCCUGUGCUGUCCUGGCUUGUGUCUGCACAUGGUGUACUGAUGGGCCACAACUCUGGCAGAGCAGCAGAUACCUCUCCUUCCAUCCACAGCUUUUAAAAUAAGAAUUGCAUUCUUUGGAAAAGUUGUAGACUCUAGAUCCUCAUGGUCCUUUUCAUCCCCUGGUAUUUUAUGAUUCUAGAUCCAAAUUUCAUUCAUAAAAUGCUACAUAGAAGCCAAACAGAAAAAAAAAAAAACUGCAUUAAGUAUAUUUUCUCUCUCUUCAAAAUUCUGUAACAAUUACAUCGCAUUACUGUUCCUACUUCAAGUUUUUCCAUUUUAUUUCUUAUUUUCAUCAGAAGUUGUUGCUAGGCACAUAGGAGCUCCUCCCGUAGCACACUAUACUCAGAUGACCCCACAGGAUUAAUUAGCUCUCAGAAGCGAAUGCGUACAGAGCCUAAGGCAAUUCAAACUUUAAUUUCCAUCACGAUUUCCAAGUCAGCCCGAGGAGAAGCUCCACAGAGCUUCAUCAGCUGUGUAUAAUUUUGGUUGCUCCACUGUUCACUCAGGAAGGAUCUCACUGAAGAGCAUCCCCAGUAACAGUGACCAGUUUACUCUGACGCUGACGGUUUUGUUCGUAGGCAAUGCUAUUAUAGAAUUGUUUGGGUUAGAAAAGACCUGCAAGAUCACCAAGUCCAAUAAUCAAAAAGAGUGCCAAAGCAGGAGAAUAAUUUGUUCAGAGACUACACACAAUUUGGAAUUAGGUGGCCAGAAUGCUUUUUCAUUUGCUUGGAGCACUCUCUGUGGAGUAUAUGGAGAUGGGAACUGAAUUCUGCAGAUCUGAGAGGGCAGAGGUUGAAAUCCUUACGAAAGCAAUGAUGGCUGAGUGAUCUCAGUGCUGAGUGAAGCAAGUGAGAUAAUGUUGAAGGAACACCAGGCUCCCUUUGCAUCUUCAUCACCUAGCCAUCCAUUUGCAACAUUCUGAUGCUUUUCUUGGGUCAGCAGCAACUUGCUUACCUACCUGGUCACUCUACAGUGAAAUUUUACUCAAAAGUUGCAAUCACUGAUGGGAGAGAAAAACACCUAGGAGAGCCCAAUUGCUUCUCAAUUAUUUGUUCGCAUAUAACAGAAAAACAUUAAUAAAGCUACUGCAUGCAAA